Molecule: long non-coding RNA, 566 nt
Filed under: Mytilus galloprovincialis (Mediterranean mussel)
Lineage: Eukaryota; Metazoa; Mollusca; Bivalvia; Mytilida; Mytilidae
Source: RNAcentral
UUUGUUGUUAUGUAAUUUAGCUAAAAUGGGUUUUUAUUUGUUGUACGUUAUCUUUCUUUUGUUGUCACUUUUUUUAUGCCCCACCUACGAUAAUGAGGGGCAUUAUGUUUUCUAGUCUGUGGGUCCGUUCGUUCGUCCGUCCGUUUUUGUCUGUUCGUCCGUCCGUUUGUUCGUUCGUUCGUCCCGGUUCAGGUUAAAGAUUUUGGUCAAGGUAGUUUUAGUGUUGAAGUCCAAUUCACUUGAAACUUAGUACACAUGUUCCCUAUAAUAUGAUCUUUCAAAUUUUAAUGCCAAAUUAGAGCGUUUACCCCAAUUUAACGGUCCACUGAACAUAGAAAAUGAUAGUGCGAGUGGGGCAUUCGACGUGUACUUGAGACACAUUCUUGUUUUAUCCUCUUUUUACUCAAUUUAAAACAGUUGCAACAAAUGACACCAACGCACUUUUCUUUGUUUCUUGAAUUGUAACUAACAAGUUAAUCGCAUUAUUAAACUGUUUGACUACAAACUGCUUAUAUGGUACAGAACGGUUUGUCAGUAAUUCACCACGCAUGCAUAUAAAAAAAGAG